Molecule: ribosomal RNA, 240 nt
Filed under: uncultured bacterium
Lineage: Bacteria
Description: partial 16S ribosomal RNA
Rfam family: Bacterial small subunit ribosomal RNA
Source: RNAcentral
UGCGCCCUACGGGGGGCAGCAGUGGGGAAUCUUCCACAAUGGACGAAAGUCUGAUGGAGCAACGCCGCGUGAGUGAAGAAGGGUUUCGGCUCGUAAAACUCUGUUGGUAGGGAAGAAAGAUAGAGGGAGUAACUGGCCUUUAUUUGACGGUAAUUUCUUAGAAAGUCACGGCUAAAUACGUGCCAGCAGCCGCGGUAAUACGUAGGUGGCAAGCGUUGUCCGGAUUUAUUGGGGGGAAAG